RNAcentral lists this unclassified non-coding RNA (350 nucleotides) under soil metagenome. RNAcentral's name for it is "partial contains 5.8S ribosomal RNA, internal transcribed spacer 2, and large subunit ribosomal RNA". The stretch from base 1 to 120 matches the Rfam family "5.8S ribosomal RNA", at positions 35 to 154 of the family's 154-position model. The record is from RNAcentral.
GAUGAAGAACGCAGCGAAAUGCGAUAAGUAAUGUGAAUUGCAGAAUUCAGUGAAUCAUCGAAUCUUUGAACGCACAUUGCGCCCGCCAGUAUUCUGGCGGGCAUGCCUGUCCGAGCGUCAUUUCAACCCUCGAACCCCUCCGGGGGGUCGGCGUUGGGGAUCGGCCCUUUACGGGGCCGGCCCCGAAAUACAGUGGCGGUCUCGCCGCAGCCUCUCCUGCGCUGUAGUUUGCACACUCGCAUCGGGAGCGCGGCGCGUCCACAGCCGUUAAACACCCCAAACUUCUGAAAUGUUGACCUCGGAUCAGGUAGGAAUACCCGCUGAACUUAAGCAUAUCAAUAAGCGGAGGA